This 58-nucleotide transfer RNA is filed under the name Sericostoma personatum. RNAcentral describes it as "tRNA-Ser". Lineage: Eukaryota; Metazoa; Arthropoda; Insecta; Trichoptera; Sericostomatidae. The record is from RNAcentral.
GAAAUAAUUAAACUAAGCUGCUAACUUAAAUCUAGUGAUUAAUAUCAUUAAUAUUUCU